Molecule: non-coding RNA, 1023 nt
Organism: Chiloscyllium plagiosum (whitespotted bambooshark)
Lineage: Eukaryota; Metazoa; Chordata; Chondrichthyes; Orectolobiformes; Hemiscylliidae
Source: RefSeq, a predicted model, not a curated record
CCACCAGCUCGAUAUCUUUACUCGUUUACAUGAGAUAGCAGUUAACACAUAUUCACUUUGUAACGGUUGUAUUAGUUAUACUGUACACAAUAUAAUGUGGACGUCUAUAUACACGGCCGCAUCUCAUGUCACCUUGAUCUGAAUUGGUCCAUUUACCCCUGCUCUCUCCAGCCUUCCUCAUAUAGCGCCUGCUUGUGAGCUCACCGAAUCAAGUCACGGUGUGACAGUUUCCCAACUGUAGCCCUUUUAAAUUGUUUCAUAAAAACUUGUGACCUUCUCCUCAGUUUCCCCUUCUUUCUAUAGUGUACACUUUAAAAAGAAAAUCCCUUGUCCGUGAUAUCGGAUGAAGGGUUGGUAUCAGGUUUGACUGGUUUGUGCUGAGUCUUCUCCGAGCCCCAGCGCAUCGACAUAUUCCGGUGGCUCUUUCUCCUUCACGUGUCCGCCUCGCUCACCGUCAAAUGCCUCUACACGAUUCAGCCCCAACUACAGCCGAGAGGAGCGGGUUCCACAUUCUCGCCACACUCUGGUACGAGCCGGGAACUAGGCCAAGUAGCAUCUGUACAGAAAUCAAACUGUUUCCAGCUCAAAAUCCCUUUGCACCGAGAGUAGGACAGCAAUGAUAUCGCCCACUACUUAGAAUCCAGGCGAUUACUCCCGGAUUAAUAAAGACAUCGACAGCAUCACAAGUGGACUGCGAAAUAAAAUCUCACACUUAAGAGAUAUCAACGUGACGACAAGAUAAAACUUCAUUGCAAUCUCAUCAAGUAUUGAUACAGGUGACUGGAAAAGGAAACCUACACAAAUCACCUCUCGGUGGGAACAAAAAUAUUCUGUACAAAAAGUGCAAACAAAAAAGGUGGUUGCAACACCGUUUCCAUAAGAUAUGGGAGAUGCUCCUUGUGUCUUUUGAGGAAAAAUGUGGGCCAAUCCCUGUUCAGAAAAAUGCAUCAUGGUCAGCUCCAUUAAGAACCGUUUAAUGGGAGGGCUUAGAAAUGAUGCUGAAGUACCUGAAUUCUAUUUGUA